Molecule: ribosomal RNA, 501 nt
Filed under: Mesoginella sp. MNHN-IM-2013-43731
Lineage: Eukaryota; Metazoa; Mollusca; Gastropoda; Neogastropoda; Marginellidae
Description: partial 16S ribosomal RNA
Rfam family: Bacterial large subunit ribosomal RNA
Source: RNAcentral
AUAAAGAAUNNNACNUGCUCGGUGAGUGAUAUAUUUUAACAGCCGCAGUAACCUGACUGUGCGAAGGUAGCAUAAUCAUUUGCCCCAUAAUUGGGGGCUAGUAUGAAUGGUUGGACGAAAGAAUAAUUGUCUCUUUUUUGUUUUUUAGAAUUUUACUUCUAAGUGAGGAGGCUUAGGUUAUAUUAAUAGACAAGAAGACCCUGUCGAGCUUAUAUAUGAUUAUUUGAAUUUUUUAUUUUAUUUUAUAAAUUUAAUUUCAUUUAGUUUAUUUGAUUGGGGCAAUCAGAGAACAGUUAAAGCUUCUCUUAAGUGUGGUAUAAAUUAUUUAAAUUGAUCCGGGUGUUAUUUCCGAGUAAAAGAAUAAGUUACCGCAGGGAUAACAGCAUUAUUUUCUUGGAGAGUUCAUAUCGAUAAGGGAGUUUGUGACCUCGAUGUUGGAUCAGAAUUUCCUAUAGAUGCAGAAGUCUAUGAGGGUUAGUCUGUUCGACUAUNAAAAUUCUA